Molecule: ribosomal RNA, 275 nt
Filed under: uncultured Piscicoccus sp.
Lineage: Bacteria; Bacillati; Actinomycetota; Actinomycetes; Micrococcales; Dermatophilaceae
Description: partial 16S ribosomal RNA
Rfam family: Bacterial small subunit ribosomal RNA
Source: RNAcentral
CCUACGGGGGGCAGCAGUGGGGAAUAUUGCACAAUGGGCGCAAGCCUGAUGCAGCGACGCCGCGUGAGGGAUGAAGGCCUUCGGGUUGUAAACCUCUUUCGUCAGGGAAGAAGCGAAAGUGACGGUACCUGAAGAAGAAGCACCGGCUAACUACGUGCCAGCAGCCGCGGUAAUACGUAGGGUGCGAGCGUUGUCCGGAAUUAUUGGGCGUAAAGAGCUUGUAGGCGGUUUGUCGCGUCUGCCGUGAAAACCUAGGGCUUAACUCUGGGCGUGCG